This 243-nucleotide ribosomal RNA is filed under the name uncultured bacterium. Its description in RNAcentral is "partial 16S ribosomal RNA". It matches the Rfam family "Bacterial small subunit ribosomal RNA", at positions 333 to 592 of the family's 1533-position model. The record is from RNAcentral.
UGAUGCCUACGGGGCGCAGCAGUGGGGAAUAUUGCACAAUGGGGGAAACCCUGAUGCAGCGACGCCGCGUGAGUGAAGAAGUAUUUCGGUAUGUAAAGCUCUAUCAGCAGGGAAGAAGAAAGACGGUACCUGACUAAGAAGCCCCGGCUAACUACGUGCCAGCAGCCGCGGUAAUACGUAGGGGGCAAGCGUUAUCCGGAUUUACUGGGUGUAAAGGGAGCGUAGACGGCAGCGCAAGUCUGG